AUGCAGGUGCUAGCCGUGCCUGGCAGAGGCAGCCGGUCAGCCCGACCCAGCGCCAUGUUCACCAAUCUGGACACCGGAAAAGCACAAGAGUCUGAAUUUACCAUGGACAACUUGAUCACCCUCAGAUGGGAUGUGUUUAGUGCAGGAACAGAGACAACAAGCAUCACCCUGAUAUAUGGACUCUUGCUCCUGCUGAAGUACCAAGAGAUCACAGGAAGAGAUUAAACAUGUGGUUGGCAGAAACUGGAGCCCCCUGCAUGCAGGACAGGAGCCGCAUGCCCUACAUGGAUGCUGUGGUGCAUGAGAUACAUUGACCUGGUCCCCACCAACCUGCCCCACAAAGCAACUCAGGACAUUAAAUUCAGAGACUAUCUUAUUCCCAAGGUGAGAGGUAUUUCAUCUAUACUGCUCUUUCAUAAUCUUAGGUUAUCAGCUAUCACAAUGGUGGAAUAAUAGAUUGCCUGUCUACAGGUGUUGCACAGUUAUAACUCAGGCAUUUCACCCUCUGACCACAUUCUAGUUUGCUGACACAGUUGAAUAAAUUAAAUACUACUUAGAAAGUAUUUUCA
This 569-nucleotide long non-coding RNA is filed under the name Sus scrofa (pig). RNAcentral describes it as "lncRNA (ENSSSCG00070018846.1)". The record is from RNAcentral. Lineage: Eukaryota; Metazoa; Chordata; Mammalia; Artiodactyla; Suidae.